AGAGUUUGAUCCUGGCUCAGGACGAACGCUGGCGGCGUGCCUAAUACAUGCAAGUAGAACGCUGAAGGAGGAGCUUGCUUCUCUGGAUGAGUUGCGAACGGGUGAGUAACGCGUAGGUAACCUGCCUGGUAGCGGGGGAUAACUAUUGGAAACGAUAGCUAAUACCGCAUAAGAGUAGAUGUUGCAUGACAUUUGCUUAAAAGGUGCACUUGCAUCACUACCAGAUGGACCUGCGUUGUAUUAGCUAGUUGGUGGGGUAAGGGCUCACCAAGGCGACGAUACAUAGCCGACCUGAGAGGGUGAUCGGCCACACUGGGACUGAGACACGGCCCAGACUCCUACGGGAGGCAGCAGUAGGGAAUCUUCGGCAAUGGACGGAAGUCUGACCGAGCAACGCCGCGUGAGUGAAGAAGGUUUUCGGAUCGUAAAGCUCUGUUGUAAGAGAAGAACGAGUGUGAGAGUGGAAAGUUCACACUGUGACGGUAUCUUACCAGAAAGGGACGGCUAACUACGUGCCAGCAGCCGCGGUAAUACGUAGGUCCCGAGCGUUGUCCGGAUUUAUUGGGCGUAAAGCGAGCGCAGGCGGUUAGAUAAGUCUGAAGUUAAAGGCUGUGGCUUAACCAUAGUAGGCUUUGGAAACUGUUUAACUUGAGUGCAAGAGGGGAGAGUGGAAUUCCAUGUGUAGCGGUGAAAUGCGUAGAUAUAUGGAGGAACACCGGUGGCGAAAGCGGCUCUCUGGCUUGUAACUGACGCUGAGGCUCGAAAGCGUGGGGAGCAAACAGGAUUAGAUACCCUGGUAGUCCACGCUGUAAACGAUGAGUGCUAGGUGUUAGANAGACAGAUCUAAGAGUUCAAAACCAGCUUUAUUAUUUGAAAAAGUGAGUGGUUUAAGAACAGUUUUUCCUGGAACAUUCAAGGCUGUAACAUCGUGUUUAUUUUUAGCGACAUCAAUGCCCACAUAAAGCAUGGGAGUACCUCCAGAUGUAGUAUUUCAAGUCUACUUGGUUAUCCACGAAUUUUUUGCCUUGUUACCUUAGACGAGAUAAAACGUCUAUGCGUUAUCAAACUCAUUACCAAUUGAAACAAAAAACUGUGGUUAGAGCCUUUCGGAAAUCGUCAAGCGAUUGGAGGGAAUAAACUAAUCCACAGUGGCUUAUUCCAAGUAUACCACUUGGGCUUUGGCAGUAGCUAACUGCGCUAAAUAUAAUAUAAGGAGAAAUAGAUGGAUUUAUGGUUUUCUGAAGU
RNAcentral lists this ribosomal RNA (1245 nucleotides) under Streptococcus pneumoniae. RNAcentral's name for it is "bacterial SSU rRNA". The stretch from base 2 to 863 matches the Rfam family "Bacterial small subunit ribosomal RNA", at positions 9 to 873 of the family's 1533-position model. The record is from RNAcentral. Lineage: Bacteria; Bacillati; Bacillota; Bacilli; Lactobacillales; Streptococcaceae.